AACAGGAUUAGUUACCCUGGUAGUCCACGCCCUAAACGAUGUCAACUAGCUGUUGGGGCCUUCGGGCCUUGGUAGCGCAGCUAACGCGUGAAGUUGACCGCCUGGGGAGUACGGCCGCAAGAUUAAAACUCAAAGGAAUUGACGGGGACCCGCACAAGCGGUGGAUGAUGUGGAUUAAUUCGAUGCAACGCGAAAAACCUUACCUACCCUUGACAUGUCUGGAAUUCCGAAGAGAUUUGGAAGUGCUCGCAAGAGAACCGGAACACAGGUGAUGCAUGGCUGUCGUCAGCUCGUGUCGUGAGAUGUUGGGUUAAGUCCCGCAACGAGCGCAACCCUUGUCAUUAGUUGCUACGAAAGGGCACUCUAAUGAGACUGCCGGUGACAAACCGGAGGAAGGUGGGGAUGACGUCAAGUCCUCAUGGCCCUUAUGGGUAGGGCUUCACACGUCAUGCAAUGGUCGGGACAGAGGGUCGCCAACCCGCGAGGGGGAGCCAAUCCCAGAAACCCGAUCGUAGUCCGGAUCGCAGUCUGCAACUCGACUGCGUGAAGUCGGAAUCGCUAGUAAUCGCGGAUCAGCAUGUCGCGGUGAAUACGCUCCCGGGUCUUGUACACACCGCCCGUCACACCAUGGGAGUGGGUUUUACCAGAAGUAGUUAGCCUAACCGUAAGGGGGGCGAUUACCACGGUAGGAUUCAUGACUGGGGUGAAGUCGUAACAAGGUAACC
RNAcentral lists this ribosomal RNA (725 nucleotides) under uncultured bacterium. RNAcentral's name for it is "bacterial SSU rRNA". It matches the Rfam family "Bacterial small subunit ribosomal RNA", at positions 771 to 1501 of the family's 1533-position model. The record is from RNAcentral.